CCACUGAGAAGAUAGUGGCGAACGGGUGAGUAACACGUGGGUAACCCUGCCCAUAAGAGGGGGAGUAACAUCCGGAAACGGGUGCUAAUACCGCAUAGUUUUCUUGAUCGCAUGAUCGGGAAAGGAAAGACGGCCUUUGUGCUGUCGCUUAUGGAUGGACCCGCGGCGUAUUAGUUAGUUGGUGAGGUAACGGCUCACCAAGACGAUGAUACGUAGCCGACCUGAGAGGGUGAUCGGCCACAUUGGGACUGAGACACGGCCCAAACUCCUACGGGAGGCAGCAGUAGGGAAUCUUCCGCAAUGGACGAAAGUCUGACGGAGCAACGCCGCGUGAGUGAAGAAAAGGUUUUCGGAUCGUAAAACUCUGUUGUCAGAGAAGAACAAGUUGGAGAGUAACUGCUCCAGCCUUGACGGUAUCUGACCAGAAAGCCACGGCUAACUACGUGCCAGCCGCCGC
Molecule: ribosomal RNA, 457 nt
Filed under: uncultured bacterium
Lineage: Bacteria
Description: bacterial SSU rRNA
Rfam family: Bacterial small subunit ribosomal RNA
Source: RNAcentral